CUUUAUUGAUUUCAGAGAGUAAGGGAGAGGGAGAAAGAGAUAGAAACAUCAGUGAUGAGAGAGAAGCCAAUUGAUUGGCUUCCUCCUGCACCCCUCCCACU
Pipistrellus kuhlii (Kuhl's pipistrelle) is the source of this 101-nucleotide long non-coding RNA. RefSeq lists it as uncharacterized. NCBI's taxonomy places the organism in Eukaryota, Metazoa, Chordata, Mammalia, Chiroptera, Vespertilionidae. The record is from RefSeq and is a predicted model, not a curated record. The transcript is spliced from 3 exons.